This 587-nucleotide ribosomal RNA is filed under the name uncultured Bacilli bacterium. RNAcentral's name for it is "bacterial SSU rRNA". It matches the Rfam family "Bacterial small subunit ribosomal RNA", at positions 106 to 681 of the family's 1533-position model. The record is from RNAcentral. Lineage: Bacteria; Bacillati; Bacillota; Bacilli.
GUGAGUAACGCGUAGGUAACCUGCCUGGUAGCGGGGGAUAACUAUUGGAAACGAUAGCUAAUACCGCAUAAGAGUAGAUGUUGCAUGACAUUUGCUUAAAAGGUGCAAUUGCAUCACUACCAGAUGGACCUGCGUUGUAUUAGCUAGUUGGUGGGGUAACGGCUCACCAAGGCGACGAUACAUAGCCGACCUGAGAGGGUGAUCGGCCACACUGGGACUGAGACACGGCCCAGACUCCUACGGGAGGCAGCAGUAGGGAAUCUUCGGCAAUGGACGGAAGUCUGACCGAGCAACGCCGCGUGAGUGAAGAAGGUUUUCGGAUCGUAAAGCUCUGUUGUAAGAGAAGAACGAGUGUGAGAGUGGAGAGUUCACACUGUGACGGUAUCUUACCAGAAAGGGACGGCUAACUACGUGCCAGCAGCCGCGGUAAUACGUAGGUCCCGAGCGUUGUCCGGAUUUAUUGGGCGUAAAGCGAGCGCAGGCGGUUAGAUAAGUCUGAAGUUAAAGGCUGUGGCUUAACCAUAGUACGCUUUGGAAACUGUUUAACUUGAGUGCAAGAGGGGAGAGUGGAAUUCCAUGUGUAGCGG